GCGGGAGUGCCGGAGUGGUCAAACGGGGCAGGUUUAGGACCUGUUAGCUUAGUGCUUACCAAGGUUCGAAUCCUUGCUCCCGCA
RNAcentral lists this transfer RNA (84 nucleotides) under Candidatus Pacearchaeota archaeon. RNAcentral describes it as "tRNA-Leu". It matches the Rfam family "tRNA". Rfam says of the family: Transfer RNA (tRNA) molecules are approximately 80 nucleotides in length. Lineage: Archaea; Nanobdellati. The record is from RNAcentral.